RNAcentral lists this ribosomal RNA (151 nucleotides) under uncultured Nitrospira sp. RNAcentral's name for it is "partial 16S ribosomal RNA". It matches the Rfam family "Bacterial small subunit ribosomal RNA", at positions 1104 to 1254 of the family's 1533-position model. The record is from RNAcentral. Lineage: Bacteria; Pseudomonadati; Nitrospirota; Nitrospiria; Nitrospirales; Nitrospiraceae.
CCUGCUCUCAGUUGCUACCGGGUCAUGCCGAGCACUCUGAAAGGACUGCCCAGGAUAACGGGGAGGAAGGUGGGGAUGACGUCAAGUCAGCAUGGCCUUUAUGCCUGGGGCCACACACGUGCUACAAUGGCCGGUACAAAGCGCUGCAAAC